GGUCUGGUCGAGAAGCUGCUUCGUAGUAUACAAACGGUUUUAACCUUUAAACUAUGGGGAAAGUCUCUGUGCAAUCUUCGCCGAAAGGGCGCUCGGGAAAUCCGUUGAGGCUUAGGGCUCUAAUUUGUGCGUAGUACUUUUGGAGUCCUAGGUCACCUGUGCCGUUUCAGCAUUAGGUAAUGCAGCUGAUGCAUAGCAUUUACAAAAUAGAGCUUAUCCACGAACCAGAC
This 230-nucleotide RNase MRP RNA is filed under the name Cervus hanglu yarkandensis (Yarkand deer). RNAcentral's name for it is "RNase MRP (ENSCHYG00000010230.1)". It matches the Rfam family "RNase MRP". From Rfam's summary of the family: RNase MRP is an enzymatically active ribonucleoprotein with two distinct roles in eukaryotes. In mitochondria it plays a direct role in the initiation of mitochondrial DNA replication. Lineage: Eukaryota; Metazoa; Chordata; Mammalia; Artiodactyla; Cervidae. The record is from Rfam by way of RNAcentral.